AGCGAACGCUGGCGGCAGGCCUAACACAUGCAAGUCGAACGGCAGCACAGGAAGAGGUGGCUCUCACGGGUGUCGAGCGGCGGACGGGUGAGGUAGGCAUCGGAUUCUACUUUGUCGGGGGUGAUAAUGUAGGAAAAUGUACUCUAAUACAGGAUACAUCCUCCGUGGGUAGGCAGGGGUUCUUUUGACUUUUUGGUAUUGAAUGAGCCUAUGUCGGAUUAGCUAGUUGGCGGGUUAAAGGCACAACCAGGCGACAAUCCGUAUCUGGUCUGAGAGGAUGGUCAGACAGCCUGGAACAGAGAAACGGUCCAGACACUGACGGGAGGCCGCAGUGGAGAAUAUUAGACGAUGGGGGAGAGCCUGAUCCAGCAAUACCGCGUAGGUGAAGAAGGCGUUCGGGUUGUAAAGCCAUUUUGUUGGGAGAGAAAUACAGCACGUUAAUCCGCCGCUGUAAUGACGGUACCCAAAGAAUAAGCACCGGCUAACUCCGUG
RNAcentral lists this ribosomal RNA (492 nucleotides) under uncultured bacterium. RNAcentral's name for it is "partial 16S ribosomal RNA". It matches the Rfam family "Bacterial small subunit ribosomal RNA", at positions 29 to 507 of the family's 1533-position model. The record is from RNAcentral.